UACGAAGGGGGCUAGCGUUGCUCGGAUUUACUGGGCGUAAAGGGCGCGUAGGCGGACGAUCAAGUUGGGGGUGAAAUCCCGGGGCUUAACCUCGGAACUGCCUCCAAAACUGAUAGUCUAGAGUUUGGGAGAGGUGUGUGGAACUCCGAGUGUAGAGGUGAAAUUCGUAGAUAUUCGGAAGAACACCAGUGGCGAAGGCGACACACUGGCCCAAUACUGACGCUGAGGCGCGAAAGCGUGGGGAGCAAACAGG
Molecule: ribosomal RNA, 253 nt
Filed under: uncultured bacterium
Lineage: Bacteria
Description: partial 16S ribosomal RNA
Rfam family: Bacterial small subunit ribosomal RNA
Source: RNAcentral